GACGAACGCUGGCGGCGUGCUUAACACAUGCAAGUCGAACGGAAAGGCCCUGCUUUUGUGGGGUGCUCGAGUGGCGAACGGGUGAGUAUCACGUGAGUAACCUGCCCUUGACUUUGGGAUAACUUCAGGAAACUGGGGCUAAUACCGGAUAGGAGCUCCUGCUGCAUGGUGGGGGUUGGAAAGUUUCGGCGGUUGGGGAUGGACUCGCGGCUUAUCAGCUUGUUGGUGGGGUAGUGGCUUACCAAGGCUUUGACGGGUAGCCGGCCUGAGGGGGUGACCGGCCACAUUGGGACUGAGAUACGGCCCAGACUCCUACGGGAGGCAGCAAUGGGGAAUAUUGCACAAUGGGCGGAAGCCUGAUGCAGCAACGCCGCGUGCGGGAUGACGGCCUUCGGGUUGUAAACCGCUUUCGCCUGUGACGAAGCGUGAGUGACGGUAAUGGGUAAAGAAGCACCGGCUAACUACGUG
Molecule: ribosomal RNA, 468 nt
Filed under: uncultured bacterium
Lineage: Bacteria
Description: partial 16S ribosomal RNA
Rfam family: Bacterial small subunit ribosomal RNA
Source: RNAcentral